GUGUUUGCUUUAGUGACACAUAUGCUAACAUUAGAACAAUAUAGAGAAAUCUGGCAAGGGUCCUGUGAAAAGAUAAAAUGCAAAUUUGUAAAGCAUUCCAUAUAUUU
Molecule: small nuclear RNA, 107 nt
Organism: Pipistrellus kuhlii (Kuhl's pipistrelle)
Lineage: Eukaryota; Metazoa; Chordata; Mammalia; Chiroptera; Vespertilionidae
Source: RefSeq, a predicted model, not a curated record